This 73-nucleotide transfer RNA is filed under the name Stegodyphus mimosarum. It matches the Rfam family "tRNA". From Rfam's summary of the family: Transfer RNA (tRNA) molecules are approximately 80 nucleotides in length. Their secondary structure includes four short double-helical elements and three loops (D, anti-codon, and T loops). The record is from Rfam by way of RNAcentral. Lineage: Eukaryota; Metazoa; Arthropoda; Arachnida; Araneae; Eresidae.
GCCUUCGUGGUGUAGUGGUCAGCACGCUCGAUGCGUAACCGAGAGGUCCGUGGUUCGAUUCCCGGCGAAGGCA